RNA transcript from Papaver somniferum (opium poppy), 3317 nucleotides. RefSeq lists it as uncharacterized. The transcript is spliced from 4 exons. NCBI's taxonomy places the organism in Eukaryota, Viridiplantae, Streptophyta, Magnoliopsida, Ranunculales, Papaveraceae. The record is from RefSeq and is a predicted model, not a curated record.
AGAGUAUCUUAAGGAAAAAACUCACCUUCUUUUUAUAUUAAAAACCCAUCUUUUUCUGAUCUGCUAUGUUUAUAGUUUUAUGGAGAUGAGUUCUCGGCGAAGUUUGGCAAACGAGUUUGAUCUCUGUUUGUUAAAUGAUCCUGAUUUUAGUGUAUGGAACGGCCAUAAUAAUUUAGCAGAAUCAUGUGCUCAGAAAGAUUCUCAAGAGUUCAAUGAAGUUCCGUAUGAAGAAGAGGAGGUAGAUAUGUAUGAUGAAGACAAAAACUACUGGAUGGAAUCUUAUGAGAACAUUAUGUCAACAGAUGGAGUAAAAAAUGUUGGGCUUGAUGAUGCAAUAGUUCCAUUAAAUAGCACAAAAGAGUUGUCUGAAGAAGAGAUCAAUAGUAUUCGCCCAUACAUCGGGAAAGAAUUUGAGUCACAAGAUGAAGCUUAGGAUUUCUAUAAUCGGUAUGCAGGUAAUACUGGAUUCAGUAUUCGUCGGCACACCACUAACAAGUCUAGAGUUGAGCCUUUUGAAGUAAUACAACGCACAUUUUGUUGUAAUCGUCAAGGAGUGCGAGAUACUAGAGUUAAGCCUGUUGAACAAAGGCAAAGGAACCAAGCUGAUAUAAGGGCAAACUGUAAUGCCGCAAUGGUGAUAACGAAGAGAAACAGUAGAUGGGCUGUAACUCGUGUUAUAGAAGAACAUAGUCAUAAGCUUCUUUCUCCAAGUAAAAGGCAUAAUAUGCGGUCAUUGAGAUUCAUAAGUAGCAUCCAGAAACAAGUUCUUGUCAACAUGCGUUUAGCAGGUGUCAAAACAAACAAAAUGAUGAACUACUUAACAGUUGAAUCAGGUGGAGUUAGAAACAUUGGGUUUUUUUCCAAAAGAUGCAAGGUACUUUUUAAGUACAAAACGGCAGUUAGAGCUAAAACAUGGAGAUGCCCAAGCGGUACUUGACUACUUUGAACGUCAACAAGUGGAGAACCCAUCAUUUUUUAAUUAAAUUCAAGUUGAUUCGGAAAGCCAAAUGACCAACUUUUUUUGGGAUGAUGCCAAAUCGAGGAUGGACUAUUCUUAUUUUGGCGAUGUAGUUUGUUUUGAUCCUACCUACAAUACAAACAGGUACGACAUGCCAUUUGUUCCGAUUGUGGGAGUUAAUCAUCAUUAUCAAACUGUAUUGUUUGGUGGUGCUUUGCUUUAUUCUGAAAGCGAGGAAUCAUUUGAAUGGGUAAUAAAACAUGGAUGAGAGCGAUGCAUGGUAAAGCGCCGAAAGUUAUUCUUACAGAUCAAGAAUCGACUAUUGGAGGUGCUAUUGCACGUGUUCUGUCAGGUACCAGACAUAGAUUUUGUUUAUGGCAUAUAUGUAGAAAUGCUAUGAAAAAUUUGUCUAAUGUGAACAAAGAAUUCGUUAAGGAAUUUAACAACUGCCUAUAUGGAUAUGAAACGGUUGAACAAUUUGAGCUAGGUUGGGCUACAAUGCUUAAAAAUCAUAAUUUGGAAAAAAAUAAAUGGUUAUCAACAUUAUACAACAAACGUGACCACUGGGCAUCAGUUUAUACGCAUGAUGUAUUUUGUGCUGAUAUGUAUACAACACAACGAAGUGAGAGUAUUAACUCUUAUUUUGGUGGAUUUUUGAGAAGAGAUAUGCCAUUGUAUGAAUUUGUUCGGCAGUAUCUAAAAGCGGUAGUAGCAAGAAUAGAGGCAUAAAAUAAUAUGGAUUAUGACACAAUAUAUACAUGCCCAGUUCUGAGAUUUUGUAUGUGUAUUGAAAAAAAUGCAGCUUUGGUGUACACAAAGACAGUUUUUACUAAAUUCCAAGAACAAUUAACUAAAUGUUUUUCUUAUUCUCAUGAAAGGGUGGGGAAAAUUGGAACAAUACCCACUUAUCAUGUAUCUAUAAUUGGAUUUCCGCAUAAAUUCCGGACAGUGAUUUUCGACUCUUUUACUAACAUUAGUCAAUGCAGUUGUCUACUAUACGAGUUUGCUGGUUAUUUAUGCAGGAACAUAUUAAAGGUUUUCAUAAUUGCGAAUGUUCAAAAUCUUCCAACUGAACAUAUUCUGAAACGGUGGACCAAAGAUGCUAAAUUUGGACCGGUGGUGUUUGACCAAGGUGAAGAAAUUGUAGCUGAUUGUCAAGAUACGAUUACAGUUAGAUAUAGUAGACUCUGUCAAGAUGCGACCAAUAUUGCAGUUAAAGGUUCGACAUCAACUAUGAUAUAUAAUGUGGCAGUACAAGUUUUACAGAAAGCUUUACAGGAAAUUGAGGAAGCUAUAAAAUCCACCCCACAAGUAAAUCAAGAUGGAAAACCUGAUGUUACACGGUAUGAGAAUAUUACAAGACAAGCAGAAACUGUAGAAAACCAGCUAGAUUUGCGAAGUUCAUUGAAAGAACCUCCAAUCGUAAAGCGUAAAAGCAAACCUGGUAGAAGGAAGUCAUGGGUUAACAAACUCAAUAGGGACUGAAAGGACAAGGAAAACAAGACCAAAAGAUUCACCAAGGUUGCCGGCAUCAACAUCAGUUGAAUUGAACAAUGCCAACUCUCAAGACAAACAACGGAAGAAAGCAAAAAAAUCAGUUGGAUUAGAUAAUGCUAACUCUCAAGAUAAGCAACCCAAGAAAAGAAAAAGAUUUAUACAUAUUUCAGCGUCAAACAUGGGAGGUUUCAGCGAAAUAAGUAGUCAUCAACCUGAAACUAUAAGGUGUGUGUUUUUCGUCGUCUAAUAAUGAUCUGGCAGAUUCUCCUCAUAAUAAUGAUUUGGCAGAUACCAAUCUCUAGUGAUAUAUGCUAACUGCUCUUUGUUUUAUACCUGUACAGUUCCAUAAGUAGAAAUUCUGACAUGCGAAACCAAUCGAGUCAAAUGAAUGAAAUCAAUCUUAAUAUUGAUCUUACUGGUCAUUGUUGGGUGAUAUUACUUUCGUAUAUUUAGUUUAAUGAUUGUAUAUUUAUAUUCCUCCCCUAUAAUGACUAAUCAAUAUAUUCUUUUCGGGUUACAUAUUUGAAUGCUUGCUAUUGGUAUCAUCAAGAAGGACCCAUUGCAGAAAGAGCAAAAUGGUGUCGCAAGAGUUUUCUUUAGAUUUUGUAACUAUGAAUGCUAUGUGGUUCAUGUAUUUUGGAUGGUUUGUAUUCGAUUGGUGUGAUUGGUCAGCAGCGCCGUAGCCAGAGAUUUGACAGCCGGACAAUCCAUCAUCAAAACGAACAUAAACUUAAAUGGUGGCAAAUUUUGUUAAUAGCUAUGGCCACCAUUUUCUUAGUCGGUCUUCUACUCUCUCUUUUACUGUUUCUGUUGUUAUAAUAGAUGAUUAUCUGCGAAGACGUGGUCCUAGACCUUGUACAUG